Molecule: ribosomal RNA, 2527 nt
Filed under: Escherichia coli
Lineage: Bacteria; Pseudomonadati; Pseudomonadota; Gammaproteobacteria; Enterobacterales; Enterobacteriaceae
Description: partial 23S ribosomal RNA
Rfam family: Bacterial large subunit ribosomal RNA
Source: RNAcentral
UAUCCUGUCUGAAUAUGGGGGGACCAUCCUCCAAGGCUAAAUACUCCUGACUGACCGAUAGUGAACCAGUACCGUGAGGGAAAGGCGAAAAGAACCCCGGCGAGGGGAGUGAAAAAGAACCUGAAACCGUGUACGUACAAGCAGUGGGAGCCUCUUAAUGGGGUGACUGCGUACCUUUUGUAUAAUGGGUCAGCGACUUAUAUUCUGUAGCAAGGUUAACCGAAUAGGGGAGCCGAAGGGAAACCGAGUCUUAACUGGGCGUUAAGUUGCAGGGUAUAGACCCGAAACCCGGUGAUCUAGCCAUGGGCAGGUUGAAGGUUGGGUAACACUAACUGGAGGACCGAACCGACUAAUGUUGAAAAAUUAGCGGAUGACUUGUGGCUGGGGGUGAAAGGCCAAUCAAACCGGGAGAUAGCUGGUUCUCCCCGAAAGCUAUUUAGGUAGCGCCUCGUGAAUUCAUCUCCGGGGGUAGAGCACUGUUUCGGCAAGGGGGUCAUCCCGACUUACCAACCCGAUGCAAACUGCGAAUACCGGAGAAUGUUAUCACGGGAGACACACGGCGGGUGCUAACGUCCGUCGUGAAGAGGGAAACAACCCAGACCGCCAGCUAAGGUCCCAAAGUCAUGGUUAAGUGGGAAACGAUGUGGGAAGGCCCAGACAGCCAGGAUGUUGGCUUAGAAGCAGCCAUCAUUUAAAGAAAGCGUAAUAGCUCACUGGUCGAGUCGGCCUGCGCGGAAGAUGUAACGGGGCUAAACCAUGCACCGAAGCUGCGGCAGCGACACUAUGUGUUGUUGGGUAGGGGAGCGUUCUGUAAGCCUGUGAAGGUGUACUGUGAGGUAUGCUGGAGGUAUCAGAAGUGCGAAUGCUGACAUAAGUAACGAUAAAGCGGGUGAAAAGCCCGCUCGCCGGAAGACCAAGGGUUCCUGUCCAACGUUAAUCGGGGCAGGGUGAGUCGACCCCUAAGGCGAGGCCGAAAGGCGUAGUCGAUGGGAAACAGGUUAAUAUUCCUGUACUUGGUGUUACUGCGAAGGGGGGACGGAGAAGGCUAUGUUGGCCGGGCGACGGUUGUCCCGGUUUAAGCGUGUAGGCUGGUUUUCCAGGCAAAUCCGGAAAACCAAGGCUGAGGCGUGAUGACGAGGCACUACGGUGCUGAAGCGACAAAUGCCCUGCUUCCAGGAAAAGCCUCUAAGCAUCAGGUAACAUUAAAUCGUACCCCAAACCGACACAGGUGGUCAGGUAGAGAAUACCAAGGCGCUUGAGAGAACUCGGGUGAAGGAACUAGGCAAAAUGGUGCCGUAACUUCGGGAGAAGGCACGCUGAUAUGUAGGUGAAGCGACUUGCUCGUGGAGCUGAAAUCAGUCGAAGAUACCAGCUGGCUGCAACUGUUUAUUAAAAACACAGCACUGUGCAAACACGAAAGUGGACGUAUACGGUGUGACGCCUGCCCGGUGCCGGAAGGUUAAUUGAUGGGGUUAGCGGUAACGCGAAGCUCUUGAUCGAAGCCCCGGUAAACGGCGGCCGUAACUAUAACGGUCCUAAGGUAGCGAAAUUCCUUGUCGGGUAAGUUCCGACCUGCACGAAUGGCGUAAUGAUGGCCAGGCUGUCUCCACCCGAGACUCAGUGAAAUUGAACUCGCUGUGAAGAUGCAGUGUACCCGCGGCAAGACGGAAAGACCCCGUGAACCUUUACUAUAGCUUGACACUGAACAUUGAGCCUUGAUGUGUAGGAUAGGUGGGAGGCUUUGAAGUGUGGACGCCAGUCUGCAUGGAGCCGACCUUGAAAUACCACCCUUUAAUGUUUGAUGUUCUAACGUGGGCCCCUUACCGGGGUUGCGGACAGUGUCUGGUGGGUAGUUUGACUGGGGCGGUCUCCUCCUAAAGAGUAACGGAGGAGCACGAAGGUUGGCUAAUCCUGGUCGGACAUCAGGAGGUUAGUGCAAUGGCAUAAGCCAGCUUGACUGCGAGCGUGACGGCGCGAGCAGGUGCGAAAGCAGGUCAUAGUGAUCCGGUGGUUCUGAAUGGAAGGGCCAUCGCUCAACGGAUAAAAGGUACUCCGGGGAUAACAGGCUGAUACCGCCCAAGAGUUCAUAUCGACGGCGGUGUUUGGCACCUCGAUGUCGGCUCAUCACAUCCUGGGGCUGAAGUAGGUCCCAAGGGUAUGGCUGUUCGCCAUUUAAAGUGGUACGCGAGCUGGGUUUAGAACGUCGUGAGACAGUUCGGUCCCUAUCUGCCGUGGGCGCUGGAGAACUGAGGGGGGCUGCUCCUAGUACGAGAGGACCGGAGUGGACGCAUCACUGGUGUUCGGGUUGUCAUGCCAAUGGCACUGCCCGGUAGCUAAAUGCGGAAGAGAUAAGUGCUGAAAGCAUCUAAGCACGAAACUUGCCCCGAGAUGAGUUCUCCCUGACUCCUUGAGAGUCCUGAAGGAACGUUGAAGACGACGACGUUGAUAGGCCGGGUGUGUAAGCGCAGCGAUGCGUUGAGCUAACCGGUACUAAUGAACCGUGAGGCUUAACCUUACAACGCCGAAG